AGCAUAUCAAUAAGCGGAGGAAAAGAAACUAACAAGGAUUCCCCUAGUAACUGCGAGUGAAGCGGGAAAAGCUCAAAUUUAAAAUCUGGCGGUCUUUGGCUGUCCGAGUUGUAGUCUGGAGAAGUGCUUUCCGUGCUGGACCGUGUAUAAGUCUCUUGGAAUAGAGCGUCAUAGAGGGUGAGAAUCCCGUCUUUGACACGGACUACCAGUGCUUUGUGAUGCGCUCUCAAAGAGUCGAGUUGUUUGGGAAUGCAGCUCAAAAUGGGUGGUAAAUUCCAUCUAAAGCUAAAUAUUGGCGAGAGACCGAUAGCGAACAAGUACCGUGAGGGAAAGAUGAAAAGCACUUUGGAAAGAGAGUUAAACAGUACGUGAAAUUGCUGAAAGGGAAACGCUUGAAGUCAGUCGCGUCGUUUGGAACUCAGCCUUGCUUUUGCUUGGUGCACUUUCUGAAUGACGGGCCAGCAUCAAUUUUGACCGUUGGAAAAGGGCUUGAGGAAUGUGGCACCUUCGGGUGUGUUAUAGCCUCUUGUCGCAUACAACGAUUGGGAUUGAGGACCGCAGCGCGCCGCAAGGCAGGGGUUCGCCCACUUUCGCGCUUAGGAUGCUGGCAUAAUGGCUUUAAGCGACCCGUCUUGAAACACGGACCAAGGAGUCUAACAUGCCUGCGAGUGUUUGGGUGGAAAACCCGAGCGCGUAAUGAAAGUAAAAGUUGAGACCUCUGUUGUGGAGGGCAUCGACGCCCGGACCUGACGUUCUCUGACGGAUCCGCGGUGGAGCAUGUAUGUUGGGACCCGAAAGAUGGUGAACUAUGCCUGAAUAGGGUGAAGCCAGAGGAAACUCUGGUGGAGGCUCGUAGCGAUUCUGACGUGCAAAUCGAUCGUCAAAUUUGGGUAUAGGGGCGAAAGACUAAUCGAACCAUCUAGUAGCUGGUUCCUGCCGAAGUUUCCCUCAGGA
RNAcentral lists this ribosomal RNA (954 nucleotides) under Hexagonia sp. Wu 9708-306. RNAcentral describes it as "eukaryotic LSU rRNA". It matches the Rfam family "Eukaryotic large subunit ribosomal RNA", at positions 37 to 978 of the family's 3401-position model. Lineage: Eukaryota; Fungi; Basidiomycota; Agaricomycetes; Polyporales; Polyporaceae. The record is from RNAcentral.